GAUGAACGCUGGCGGCGUGCCUAAUACAUGCAAGUCGAGCGCACAGAUGAGGAGCUUGCUCCUCUGACGUUAGCGGCGGACGGGUGAGUAACACGUGGAUAACCUACCUAUCAGACUGGGAUAACUUCGGGACACCGGAGCUAAUACCGGAUAAUAUCUUGAACCGCAUGGUUCAAUAGUGAAAGACGGUUUUGCUGUCACUUAUCGAUGGAUCCGCGCCGCAUUAGCUAGUUGGUAAGGUAACGGCUUACCAAGGCAACGAUGCGUAGCCGACCUGAGAGGGUGAUCGGCCACACUGGAACUGAGACACGGUCCAGACUCCUACGGGAGGCAGCAGAAGGGAAUCUUCCGCAAUGGGCGAAAGCCUGACGGAGCAACGCCGCGUGAGUGAUGAAGGUCUUCGGAUCGUAAAACUCUGUUAUUAGGGAAGAACAAAUGUGUAAGUAACUAUGCACGUCUUGACGGUACCUAAUCAGAAAGCCACGGCUAACUACGUG
Molecule: ribosomal RNA, 497 nt
Filed under: uncultured bacterium
Lineage: Bacteria
Description: partial 16S ribosomal RNA
Rfam family: Bacterial small subunit ribosomal RNA
Source: RNAcentral